Molecule: ribosomal RNA, 301 nt
Filed under: uncultured bacterium
Lineage: Bacteria
Description: partial 16S ribosomal RNA
Rfam family: Bacterial small subunit ribosomal RNA
Source: RNAcentral
CAGCCGCCGCGGUAAUACAGAGGGUGCGAGCGUUAAUCGGAUUUACUGGGCGUAAAGCGUGCGUAGGCGGCUUCUUAAGUCGGAUGUGAAAUCCCUGAGCUUAACUUAUGAAUUGCAUUCGAUACUGGGAAGCUAGAGUAUGGGAGAGGAUGGUAGAAUUCCAGGUGUAGCGGUGAAAUGCGUAGAGAUCUGGAGGAAUACCGAUGGCGAAGGCAGCCAUCUGGCCUAAUACUGACGCUGAGGUACGAAAGCAUGGGGAGCAAACAGGAUUAGAGACCCCCGUAGUCCCUGUCUCUUAUAC